UCUCAUAAUUACACGCUACCGACACGCGAGAUAGUUCCUAUAAUUAUCGAUUGGCACGAGUGCGACACGCGGAGAGAUUGAAGAAAACAUGCGUUCCCUUAAAAGAAUCAUAUUUUAUUUUAGUUCAUAGCUUUACGUAUCAGCCGUAUUCGAAUAAUGUAUCGAACUGCAUCGAGUUUCCGCGGUUAGAAUAGGAUUACUAACUUCGCAAAAUGAACGUAUAAUGUAAAAUUCAAGCAGUUGAACGGAUAUACUUAUUCAAAUAUAUUUAACCUCGUUGCAUUGUAAUGAAUUCGCGACAAUGAAUUCGCGAUAAUGAAUUCGCGCGGUAGUCAUUUAACGGAAGUCAUCAUAGUUCUCCGAGACUGACAUCUCAAUCACUCGAUAAAACCCAUAAAAAAUUCAAAUUCUACAGGAUGAGAACGAACUAUAGUUGUGCUGCACUAUAAUUUACACAAAUUGGACUACGUACUUGUUCUCAAAGUGAUAACAUACAAGAUGAAUUUUUACACUUGUUUUUUUCUUAAUAAAGUGAAAGUGAUCAAAACAUGAUAUAUAGAUAAUACAAAAGGAAAAUAUUUGCUUAAAAUUACGUGAUUCUUGAAAACAUAUAAAUCUUACUUCAUCCAA
Long non-coding RNA from Bombus impatiens (common eastern bumble bee), 630 nucleotides. RefSeq lists it as uncharacterized. The record is from RefSeq and is a predicted model, not a curated record. Lineage: Eukaryota; Metazoa; Arthropoda; Insecta; Hymenoptera; Apidae. The transcript has 2 exons.